GGUCGAUAUCCCCUGGAACAGUAAGAUAUCCUGGUUGCUGAGAAACUUUUAGCACUCUUCAAUUCCAUGGAGUUUGCAUGUUUAAGUGAGGGCACAAACUACUACUUCCCACCAUGCCACAUAGUUAAUAUAUAGGCCAGAGUUCAUCAAAUUCAGAAUCUGUAAGGCAGGAAGUUUCAGAGCUUCUUGAUUUGAAAGUUUAAUUCAGGCUGAG
This is a long non-coding RNA of Solanum stenotomum, 214 nucleotides long. RefSeq lists it as uncharacterized. Lineage: Eukaryota; Viridiplantae; Streptophyta; Magnoliopsida; Solanales; Solanaceae. The transcript is spliced from 3 exons. The record is from RefSeq and is a predicted model, not a curated record.